RNAcentral lists this ribosomal RNA (507 nucleotides) under uncultured bacterium. RNAcentral describes it as "partial 16S ribosomal RNA". It matches the Rfam family "Bacterial small subunit ribosomal RNA", at positions 29 to 507 of the family's 1533-position model. The record is from RNAcentral.
ACGCACGCUGGCGGCGUGCCUAAUACAUGCAAGUCGAACGCUUCUUUCCUCCCGAGUGCUUGCACUCAAUUGGAAAGAGGAGUGGCGGACGGGUGAGUAACACGUGGGUAACCUACCCAUCAGAGGGGGAUAACACUUGGAAACAGGUGCUAAUACCGCAUAACAGUUUAUGCCGCAUGGCAUAAGAGUGAAAGGCGCUUUCGGGUGUCGCUGAUGGAUGGACCCGCGGUGCAUUAGCUAGUUGGUGAGGUAACGGCUCACCAAGGCCACGAUGCAUAGCCGACCUGAGAGGGUGAUCGGCCACACUGGGACUGAGACACGGCCCAGACUCCUACGGGAGGCAGCAGUAGGGAAUCUUCGGCAAUGGACGAAAGUCUGACCGAGCAACGCCGCGUGAGUGAAGAAGGUUUUCGGAUCGUAAAACUCUGUUGUUAGAGAAGAACAAGGACGUUAGUAACUGAACGUCCCCUGACGGUAUCUAACCAGAAAGCCACGGCUAACUACGUG